GUAGUCAUAUGCUUGUCUCAAAGAUUAAGCCAUGCAUGUCUAAGUAUAAGCAAUUAUACCGCGAAACUGCGAAUGGCUCAUUAUACAAGUUAUCGUUUAUUUGAUAGUACCUUACUACUUGGAUAACCGUGGUAAUUCUAGAGCUAAUACAUGCUAAAAAUCCCGACUUCGGAAGGGAUGUAUUUAUUAGAUUAAAAACCAAUGCCCUUCGGGGCUCACUGGUGAUUCAUGAUAACUCCUCGAAUCGCAUGGCCUUGUGCCGGCGAUGGUUCAUUCAAAUUUCUUCCCUAUCAACUUUCGAUGUUUGGGUAUUGGCCAAACAUGGUGGCAACGGGUAACGGGGAAU
RNAcentral lists this ribosomal RNA (346 nucleotides) under uncultured Fusarium. Its description in RNAcentral is "SSU rRNA". It matches the Rfam family "Eukaryotic small subunit ribosomal RNA", at positions 20 to 370 of the family's 1831-position model. RNAcentral also lists the same sequence under 1 other name. The record is from RNAcentral. Lineage: Eukaryota; Fungi; Ascomycota; Sordariomycetes; Hypocreales; Nectriaceae.